GAUGAACGCUGGCUACAGGCUUAACACAUGCAAGUCGAGGGGCAGCAUUCCGGUUGCUUGCAACCGGUGAUGGCGACCGGCGCACGGGUGAGUAACGCGUAUCCAACCUUCCCGCGACCAAGGGAUAACCUGCCGAAAGGCAGACUAAUACCUUAUGUCCUCCUUUGAAGGCAUCUGACGAGGAGCAAAGAUCCGUCGGUCACGGAUGGGGAUGCGUCCGAUUAGCUUGUUGGCGGGGCAACGGCCCACCAAGGCAUCGAUCGGUAGGGGUUCUGAGAGGAAGGCCCCCCACACUGGAACUGAGACACGGUCCAGACUCCUACGGGAGGCAGCAGUGAGGAAUAUUGGUCAAUGGGCGGAAGCCUGAACCAGCCAAGUAGCGUGCAGGAUGACGGCCCUACGGGUUGUAAACUGCUUUUAUGCGGGGAUAAAGUUGCCCACGUGUGGGUUUUUGCAGGUACCGCAUGAAUAAGGACCGGCUAAUUCCGUGCCAGCAGCCGCGGUAAUACGGAAGGUCCGGGCGUUAUCCGGAUUUAUUGGGUUUAAAGGGAGCGCAGGCCGCCGUGUAAGCGUGCCGUGAAAAGCAGCGGCCCAACCGCUGCCCUGCGGCGCGAACUGCUUGGCUUGAGUGCGCCGGAAGCGGGCGGAAUUCGUGGUGUAGCGGUGAAAUGCUUAGAUAUCACGAAGAACCCCGAUUGCGAAGGCAGCCCGCUGUGGCGCCACUGACGCUGAGGCUCGAAGGUGCGGGUAUCGAACAGG
RNAcentral lists this ribosomal RNA (759 nucleotides) under uncultured Prevotella sp. RNAcentral's name for it is "bacterial SSU rRNA". It matches the Rfam family "Bacterial small subunit ribosomal RNA", at positions 28 to 776 of the family's 1533-position model. Lineage: Bacteria; Pseudomonadati; Bacteroidota; Bacteroidia; Bacteroidales; Prevotellaceae. The record is from RNAcentral.